GACGAACGCUGGCGGCGUGCUUAACACAUGCAAGUCGAGCGGUAAGGCCCUUUCGGGGGUACGACGAGCGGCGAACGGGUGAGUAACACGUGGGUGACCUGCCCUCAGCUCUGGGAUAAGCCCGGGAAACUGGGUCUAAUACCGGAUAUGACUCCAUGACGCAUGUUGUGGGGUGGAAAGCCUUGUGCGGCUGAGGAUGGGCCCGCGGCCUAUCAGCUUGUUGGUGGGGUGAUGGCCUACCAAGGCGACGACGGGUAGCCGGCCUGAGAGGGCGACCGGCCACACUGGGACUGAGACGCGGCCCAGACUCCUACGGGAGGCAGCAGGUGGGGAAUCUUGCGCAAUGGGCGAAAGCCUGACGCAGCGACGCCGCGUGA
RNAcentral lists this ribosomal RNA (377 nucleotides) under uncultured bacterium. RNAcentral's name for it is "bacterial SSU rRNA". It matches the Rfam family "Bacterial small subunit ribosomal RNA", at positions 28 to 404 of the family's 1533-position model. The record is from RNAcentral.